This 448-nucleotide ribosomal RNA is filed under the name uncultured bacterium. RNAcentral's name for it is "bacterial SSU rRNA". It matches the Rfam family "Bacterial small subunit ribosomal RNA", at positions 8 to 451 of the family's 1533-position model. The record is from RNAcentral.
AGAGUUUGAUCAUGGCUCAGGAUGAACGCUAGCGGCAGGCUUAACACAUGCAAGUCGAGGGGCAGCGGGAGUAGCAAUACUUGCCGGCGACCGGCGCACGGGUGAGUAACACGUAUGCAACCUACCUUUAACAGGGGAAUAACCCGUUGAAAAACGGACUAAUACUCCAUAACACAGGGGUCCCGCAUGGGAAUAUUUGUUAAAGAUUUAUCGGUUGAAGAUGGGCAUGCGUUCCAUUAGCUUGUUGGUGAGGUAACGGCUCACCAAGGCUACGAUGGAUAGGGGAACUGAGAGGUUUAUCCCCCACACUGGAACUGAGACACGGUCCAGACUCCAACGGGAGGCAGCAGUGAGGAAUAUUGGUCAAUGGACGCAAGUCUGAACCAGCCAUGUCGCGUGCAGGACGACGGCCCUAUGGGUUGUAAACUGCUUUUGUACGGGAAGAAAA